CGAGCACUUCUUCUCGAGUGGGAUGGUCACAGGACAAUGGUGCCCUUACAGCAGCAGGAGAGAGCCACGCUGCUAGGGUCCGCAGCCUGGGAGGCAGCCAGCAAUUAGCUGCUGAUGAGGUCUGAGAGGGUGACACAGGUGCUGCCAAUUCUCUCUCUCAAAGGACCCGAGGCUUCCUAAGCCUGCCAGUUUGCACAAAGGGUACAAAAAGGUGGGGAGAGCUGUCGGAAAGCAGAGACAGGACAAAAAUCACAAGCUGUACAAAGGUAGGAGGUGUCUAAAAGCAGGGACGGUCCAGUCACGGCAGGACCCUAUACUUCACAGGGGCAGAGGACUCUCCAGACGGGAGAGAGAGAGACUUCUCCAGCCACAGAUCAAACCAGAAACUUCAGGAGUUGAGAGUUGAUGGCAUGCUGCACUUAGUGUUUUGAUGAGUUUACACUCCAUGAAGAGGAAGGAAAUAUCCCCCUGCACAGCAUAUGGCAUCUCUACAGGAGAUAGCAACAAGAAACGACCUUCAAGGGACCAUCUGCCAGUUCUGCUCUAGUCACACCUCCUCCUUGCCCACAACAUGACCCUUAUACCAAGGAGACCAGCAAAGGAUGCACAUGGGAAACAUCCUAAACAGUUAAAGCUCAUGCUAGUCUUGCAUCAUUCACUUCACCUUUGUUAGAGUUUUUCCCCAUCAAAUGCCAAGAGCAUUUAACCUUUAGCACUGUUGUCCAGGA
Pogoniulus pusillus (Red-fronted tinkerbird) is the source of this 728-nucleotide long non-coding RNA. RefSeq lists it as uncharacterized. Lineage: Eukaryota; Metazoa; Chordata; Aves; Piciformes; Lybiidae. The transcript has 2 exons. The record is from RefSeq and is a predicted model, not a curated record.